This 253-nucleotide ribosomal RNA is filed under the name uncultured bacterium. RNAcentral describes it as "partial 16S ribosomal RNA". It matches the Rfam family "Bacterial small subunit ribosomal RNA", at positions 524 to 776 of the family's 1533-position model. The record is from RNAcentral.
UACGUAGGGUGCAAGCGUUAAUCGGAAUUACUGGGCGUAAAGCGUACGCAGGCGGCUAUGUAAGACAGGUGUGAAAUCCCCGGGCCUAACCUGGGAACUGCAUUUGUGACUGCAUAGCUAGAGUCCGUCAGAGGGGGGUGGAAUUCCACGUGUAGCAGUGAAAUGCGUAGAGAUGUGGAGGAAUACCGAUGGCGAAGGCAGCCCCCUGGGUCAAUACUGACGCUCAUGCACGAAAGCGUGGGGAGCAAACAGG